This is a non-coding RNA of Phoenix dactylifera (date palm), 269 nucleotides long. The record is from RefSeq and is a predicted model, not a curated record. NCBI's taxonomy places the organism in Eukaryota, Viridiplantae, Streptophyta, Magnoliopsida, Arecales, Arecaceae.
AGGCCCAUCUCCAAAUAUCAACCAUCUUCUCUGAAAAUCAGCUCGCUUCUUCUCCGUUGGCCCGGUUACGCAGAGCAAAGCUGUUCAUCUACCAGAGCUGGAUGAUAGGAUGAUUGACAGCAGAGCGACUUGCCCGAUUAAAAUUGAAGUUGGAAGAACAAGGAAUUAAAUGUGGUUCUUGUCAGCCUGGGCAGUACACGCACAUGACAUGCCCACAGUGUAAAGGAGGGCCUUCAGAGGAUAAGAGCUUCUCACUUUUCAUCCGCGAG